CCUACGGGUGGCAGCAGUGAGGAAUAUUGGUCAAUGGGCGGGAGCCUGAACCAGCCAAGCCGCGUGAGGGAAGAAGGUACAGCGUAUCGUAACCCUCUUUUGUCAGGGAACAAAGGCGGGGACUAGUCCCCGGAUGAGGGUACCUGAAGAAAAAGCAUCGGCUAACACCGUGCCAGCAGCCGCGGUAAUCCGGGGGAUGCGAGGGUUAUCCGGAUUUAUUGGGUUUAAAGGGUGAGCAGAGGGCCUGUUAAGUCAGCGGUAAAAGCCCGGGGCUCAACCCCGGCGAGCCGUUGAAACUGGGGGGCUGGAGUUGGAGAGAAGUACGCGGAAUGCGGGGUGUAGCGGUGAAAUGCUUAGAUAUCGCGCAGAACCCCGAUUGCGAAGGCAGCGUACCGGCUCCACACUGACGCUGAGGCACGAAAGCGUGGGUAGCGAACAGGAUUAGAUACCCUUGUAGUC
RNAcentral lists this ribosomal RNA (459 nucleotides) under uncultured bacterium. Its description in RNAcentral is "partial 16S ribosomal RNA". It matches the Rfam family "Bacterial small subunit ribosomal RNA", at positions 338 to 795 of the family's 1533-position model. The record is from RNAcentral.